UAAUAAUUUAAUAAAAUAGCUGAAUAAUAAAAACAUAGUUUUAAACUCAAAAAUUUUGGCGGUAUUUUAUAUAAUUAGGGGAACCUGUUUCUUAAUAUGAUAAUCCACGACUUUCUACCCAUUUUAAGUAUAUCAGUCUGUGUACUGCUGUCUUAUAAACCUAUAAAAGAGUUUAUAUAAAUAAAAAUUUAAAAAAGUCAAGUCAAAGUGCAACUAAUAAAAUGGAGUACAAUGGGUUACAAUCUCUAACAAAGUAUGAAUAUUAUUAUUAAAUAUAAUAAUUGCAAGUGGACUUAAAAGUAAUAUAGUGAAAUCACUAUAUAAAUAAUUUCCUAAAAUAUGUACACAUCGCCCGUCGCUCUCGUCAAAAGACU
RNAcentral lists this ribosomal RNA (374 nucleotides) under Achaeta cf. brevivasa PDW-2010. Its description in RNAcentral is "partial 12S ribosomal RNA". Lineage: Eukaryota; Metazoa; Annelida; Clitellata; Enchytraeida; Enchytraeidae. The record is from RNAcentral.